Stegostoma tigrinum is the source of this 947-nucleotide long non-coding RNA. RefSeq lists it as uncharacterized. The transcript is spliced from 3 exons. The record is from RefSeq and is a predicted model, not a curated record. NCBI's taxonomy places the organism in Eukaryota, Metazoa, Chordata, Chondrichthyes, Orectolobiformes, Stegostomatidae.
CAUGGUUACAAGGAAACAGAGAGAGACAGACUGCGAUCUGGGAGUGGAGGAGGCCAUCUCCACAAAUGGAAUUUGAAAGGACAUUGCAAGAAAAUUGCUGAGACAGUGAAGGGAUGUGGGUGUCUCUGGCCAGGACUACAUUUGUGUCCAUCCCUAGUGGCCCUUGAGGAGGUGGUAAUGAGCUGCCUUCUUGAAAUGCUGCAGUCCAUGUGGCGAAGGUACACCUGCUGUUUUGGAGAUGAAAUGACUGACCUGCAACAAACACAACUAUCUUUUUGAGCCAGGAAGCAAGGAGGAGGACACAGCCCUUUCAAUGGAGCCAAGGUGGAGAUGGCGGACAGCAUCCAGUUCCUGGGAGCGAUGAUCACCGACAAUCUGUCCUGGACCACCCAUGUUGAUGGAAUGGUCAUGAAGGCACAACAACACCUCUUCUUCCUCAGGAGGCUGGCAAAAUUUAAAACAUCCAUAAAGACUCUCACCAACUUUUACAGAUGCACCGUUGAAAAUUUCCUAUCUAGGUGCAUCAUUGCUUGGUACAGCAACUGCUCUGCCCAGAACUGUAAGAAACUAUAGAGUUGUGAACACAGCCCAGUCCAUCACACAACCUUCCAUCCAUUGACUCCAUCUAUGCUUCUUAACGCCUCAGGAAGGCAGCCAACACCAUUAAAAGACCCUUCCCACCCUUGUUACUAAAACGCUUCCAACUCCUUCCAUCAGGCAAAAAAUACAAAAACUUAAUCACAGGUACCAACAGGUUCAAGAACAGCUUCUACCCCACUGUUAUUAGACUUCGGUAUGGACCUCUCAAAUUGCAAAUCUAAUACUGAUCUUGCUGUUUGUGCACUUUCUUUACAGCUGUAACUUUGUUUUCCUCAUUAUGUUCUAUCAUCCUGUGAUUUUUGUAUAGUAUGACCUGCCCAAACUAUAUGCAAAUCAAAACUUUUCAC